Small nucleolar RNA from Grammomys surdaster, 127 nucleotides. RefSeq annotates it as small nucleolar RNA SNORA17. NCBI's taxonomy places the organism in Eukaryota, Metazoa, Chordata, Mammalia, Rodentia, Muridae. The transcript has a single exon. The record is from RefSeq and is a predicted model, not a curated record.
ACUAUUCCUAAAGUAAUUAAGAAUUAUAACUGCUGUGACAUAUGUGCCUCUGUAGGUGGCAGAGAGGACAGAGACUAUGCUCAGUGUUCUGACCUGAGAACAUCUGAGCGAUGAGUAGCCUAACAUU